This is a small nuclear RNA of Cavia porcellus (domestic guinea pig), 104 nucleotides long. The record is from Ensembl. NCBI's taxonomy places the organism in Eukaryota, Metazoa, Chordata, Mammalia, Rodentia, Caviidae.
GUUCUCACUUCAGCAGUUCAUAUACUAAGAUCAGAAUGAUACAGAGAUUAGCAUGCCCUCUGCACAAGGAUGACAUGUAAUUUCAUGAAGCAUUCCAUAUUUUG